This 85-nucleotide transfer RNA is filed under the name Anaerolineae bacterium CG2_30_57_67. RNAcentral describes it as "tRNA-Leu". It matches the Rfam family "tRNA". Rfam says of the family: Transfer RNA (tRNA) molecules are approximately 80 nucleotides in length. Their secondary structure includes four short double-helical elements and three loops (D, anti-codon, and T loops). Further hydrogen bonds mediate the characteristic L-shaped molecular structure. tRNAs have two regions of fundamental functional importance: the anti-codon, which is responsible for specific mRNA codon recognition, and the 3' end, to which the tRNAs corresponding amino acid is attached (by aminoacyl-tRNA synthetases). tRNAs cope with the degeneracy of the genetic code in two manners: having more than one tRNA (with a specific anti-codon) for a particular amino acid; and 'wobble' base-pairing, i.e. permitting non-standard base-pairing at the 3rd anti-codon position. RNAcentral also lists the same sequence under 1 other name. The record is from RNAcentral. Lineage: Bacteria; Bacillati; Chloroflexota; Anaerolineae.
GCGCUGGUGCUGGAAUUGGCAGACAGGUACGUUUGAGGGGCGUAUGCCGCAAGGCGUGAGGGUUCAAGUCCCUCCCAGCGCACAA